This is a non-coding RNA of Nicotiana sylvestris (wood tobacco), 129 nucleotides long. The record is from Rfam. Lineage: Eukaryota; Viridiplantae; Streptophyta; Magnoliopsida; Solanales; Solanaceae.
UAGACAGAUUAUUGUAUUCGAUUGUAUUCACGAUAUGUAUUUGUGAAUACAGUAACGUAAAUAGCGCGAUUCAUGGUCUAUUCAGCUGUUUUUAAACGAAAAGUGAAUCAAUUAACAUAAUAGACUCCU